RNAcentral lists this ribosomal RNA (75 nucleotides) under Bacillus spizizenii. RNAcentral's name for it is "partial 16S ribosomal RNA". It matches the Rfam family "Bacterial small subunit ribosomal RNA", at positions 1 to 75 of the family's 1533-position model. The record is from RNAcentral. Lineage: Bacteria; Bacillati; Bacillota; Bacilli; Caryophanales; Bacillaceae.
UUAUCGGAGAGUUUGAUCCUGGCUCAGGACGAACGCUGGCGGCGUGCCUAAUACAUGCAAGUCGAGAGGACAGAU